Helianthus annuus (common sunflower) is the source of this 1346-nucleotide RNA transcript. It is a transcript of the gene named protein-tyrosine-phosphatase IBR5, with no coding region annotated. The record is from RefSeq and is a predicted model, not a curated record. Lineage: Eukaryota; Viridiplantae; Streptophyta; Magnoliopsida; Asterales; Asteraceae. The transcript has 6 exons.
UGACUAAAAACCCCAAAUUCCACAAUUAAACAAAUAUAACCCUCAAUAUCAUUCGGUAAUGCCAAAAAGGGAAUAUCUUUCCGAUUUACGUCCGCCUUUUAGUCCGUGCGAACCCAUCUCUGAAAAGUUAUAAAAUAACCAAAAAAAAUAUAUAUAAAUAAAUUUUCAAUCUUUCCCCAUACCCACUUCAAAUCACAUUAAUACCCAUCUGGGUUUCAAAAAUCUUGAUAAAAAAACUCAUAAAGUUGCAGUCUUGAUCAAGAAUGAGGAAGAGAGAGAGAGAAAACCCAUGUGGGAUUUGUGGGCAUUAUCAUAAGUAUGAAGAGGGUGAAGUUUGUGGGAUUUGCGGGCACCGGAUGCCUGUUGGAGUUGAAAAAAGUUUGAUCCAAGUUAGUGCUUUUCCCUCUGAAAUCUUGCCGGAGAUGUUGUAUCUUGGUAGCUAUGAUAACGCUUCUAGGUCGGAGCUUCUUAAGACUCUUGGGAUUUCUCGUGUUCUUAAUGUUGUACCCGCGUGUCAAAAUCUCUACAAAAAUUCAUUUACUUAUCAUUGCCUUCCCGAUAGCCCAACUCUAGCAUUCGAUGAUGCAGUUGAUUUCUUAGAGCAAUGUGAAAAGGAUAAAGCUCGAGUUCUUGUUCACUGCAUGUCAGGAAAAAACAAGUCACCGGCUGUGGUCAUUGCGUAUUUGAUGAAGAGCAGAAGGUGGACUUUUGAUCAGAGUUACCAAUGGGUGAAAGAACGCAGACCGUCUGUUGACUUAAACGAAGUUGUUUUGCAGCAGCUACAAGAGUAUGCACAGAAGAUUCAGACGGCAGUGGAGGCCAGUGGUGGCGGUGGCGCUCUGCCACCGAUCUCAGACAGCGGAGCGCCAUUUAGCUUCGGGUUCACAAACCGAACCAACGUUGCACCAGCCUUCCCAGCUUUCAACACCGCUGCAGCCACCACCUCCAUUUUCACUCGUGCAGACAUCCCUCCGCCAAACCAGUUCACUUUUGGGGCGGCUGCUCAGACUGAGAACGCCCCGCAAAAUCUGGUGUCGUCUGGGCCUGAUUCUGUGAAUCCAAAUGCUACCGAUGUGUCGAUGGAUGGGUCUUAAACUUUUGUUUUUUUUGGGUUAUAUGUGCGAAUCUUGUGGGAAGCCAUGAAUGUUGGGUUGAAUCAAUGUUGUAAAAGCAUGUCUAGGAGGUCGAGUGCUCGUUGAGUAAUGGUGACAAGGUGAUUUUCUACAACUCCGUCUUAUUACUUGGAAUCGAUCAAAAGUGGUCAACCUCGGCCUGGAUUUCGUCGAUCAAUUUGGGAUAAGUUUGACUUGCAAAACUAAAUAAAACAUGGUUACUAUGUCUAUUAU